Molecule: ribosomal RNA, 265 nt
Filed under: uncultured Staphylococcus sp.
Lineage: Bacteria; Bacillati; Bacillota; Bacilli; Caryophanales; Staphylococcaceae
Description: partial 16S ribosomal RNA
Rfam family: Bacterial small subunit ribosomal RNA
Source: RNAcentral
CGGCGGACGGGUGAGUAACACGUGGGUAACCUACCUAUAAGACUGGGACAACUUCGGGAAACCGGAGCUAAUACCGGAUAAGAUAUCGAACCGCAUGGUUCGAUAGUGAAAGAUGGUUUUGCUAUCACUUAUAGAUGGACCCGCGCCGUAUUAGCUAGUUGGUGAGGUAACGGCUCACCAAGGCAACGAUACGUAGCCGACCUGAGAGGGUGAUCGGCCACACUGGAACUGAGACACGGUCCAGACUCCUACGGAGGCAGCAGCC